GAACACCAGUGGCGAAGGCGACUUACUGGGCCGUAACUGACGUUGAUGCGCGAAAGCGUGGGGAGCGAACAGGAUUAGAUACCCUGGUAGUCCACGCCGUAAACGAUGAGUGCUAGGUGUAGCGGGUAUCGACCCCUGCUGUGCCGGAGUUAACACAAUAAGCACUCCGCCUGGGGAGUACGGCCGCAAGGUUGAAACUCAAAGGAAUUGACGGGGGCCCGCACAAGCAGCGGAGCAUGUGGUUUAAUUCGAAGCAACGCGAAGAACCUUACCAGGUCUUGACAUCGAGGCAAAGCCGUAGAGAUACGGUGUUCAGCAAUGAGGCCGAAGACAGGUGGUGCAUGGUUGUCGUCAGCUCGUGUCGUGAGAUGUUGGGUUAAGUCCCGCAACGAGCGCAACCCUUAUUGUCAGUUACUAACGGGUAAAGCUGAGGACUCUGACGAGACUGCCGGGGACAACUCGGAGGAAGGUGGGGACGACGUCAAAUCAUCAUGCCCCUUAUGACCUGGGCUACACACGUGCUACAAUGGUGGUUACAGAGAGGAGCGAGCCCGCGAGGGGGAGCGGAUCUCAGAAAAGCCAUCUCAGUUCGGAUUGUGGGCUACAACCCGCCCACAUGAAGUUG
RNAcentral lists this ribosomal RNA (625 nucleotides) under uncultured bacterium. RNAcentral describes it as "bacterial SSU rRNA". It matches the Rfam family "Bacterial small subunit ribosomal RNA", at positions 704 to 1328 of the family's 1533-position model. The record is from RNAcentral.